ACAUGCAAGUCGAGCGGAUGAAGGGAGCUUGCUCCUGGAUUCAGCGGCGGACGGGUGAGUAAUGCCUAGGAAUCUGCCUGGUAGUGGGGGAUAACGUCCGGAAACGGGCGCUAAUACCGCAUACGUCCUGAGGGAGAAAGUGGGGGAUCUUCGGACCUCACGCUAUCAGAUGAGCCUAGGUCGGAUUAGCUAGUUGGUGGGGUAAAGGCCUUCCAAGGCGACG
RNAcentral lists this ribosomal RNA (223 nucleotides) under Pseudomonas aeruginosa. RNAcentral describes it as "partial 16S ribosomal RNA". It matches the Rfam family "Bacterial small subunit ribosomal RNA", at positions 53 to 278 of the family's 1533-position model. The record is from RNAcentral. Lineage: Bacteria; Pseudomonadati; Pseudomonadota; Gammaproteobacteria; Pseudomonadales; Pseudomonadaceae.